This is a long non-coding RNA of Telopea speciosissima, 312 nucleotides long. RefSeq lists it as uncharacterized. NCBI's taxonomy places the organism in Eukaryota, Viridiplantae, Streptophyta, Magnoliopsida, Proteales, Proteaceae. The record is from RefSeq and is a predicted model, not a curated record. The transcript has 3 exons.
UGAUACAUAUCGGACAGAAUUAUGCCGAGCCAGUUUCAUUAGUCGUUUGAUGUUUUCUUGGCUUCACCCUUUACUGCGCUUAGGUUACUCAAAACCAUUAGACCUUGAUGCUGUCCCAGAUUUAACAUCUGAAGAUGAAGCCCUCUUAGCAUACCAAAAUUUUUAUAAUGCAUGGGAUUGUCUUAGGAGAGAUAAGAGUGUAACAAAUACUCACAACUUGGUUAUACGAGCCUUGGCUAAAGUUUAUAUGAAAGAGAUGGUAAUUAUAGGAGUCUAUGCCUUUCUUAGGACAGGCACUGUCGUGUUUCUUCC